This 2610-nucleotide long non-coding RNA is filed under the name Sus scrofa (pig). Its description in RNAcentral is "lncRNA (ENSSSCG00030042044.1)". Lineage: Eukaryota; Metazoa; Chordata; Mammalia; Artiodactyla; Suidae. The record is from RNAcentral.
GUUCUGAAGAAGGAAGCGGAGAGGCGCGGGCGUUGCAGAGGGAGCCUCGAGCUGAGCUGGGCUGGGAGUCAUUAAAGGAGGCGGCUGUCCCCGGGGCCCCAGACGGCAUCUCAUCAAGAUGCCCUGGAACUCGCCCAGCUUUGCUUCAGAUGUUCCAAGCUCAUUUUGAGUCAAAGCCUUUUCAUCUGAGUUCAUUCUCCCUGCACACUUCAUCCUCCUGAAAUUGCACCAAGAAGCCACGAUCAGAUCACAUCACCACCGAUAAACCCUCCGCUGAGCGUUAUCGUUCCUCCAGGCAUCUGAAACGGUGCUAAUGUUCACGCUCCGAAUGUCAGCGGACUGUGUACCCUUCACUCUCAGUAGAUGCUGAGUUUUAUGCUCACCAUUACUCUCUGUUCACUGGCGCCGAUUCAUAUAGUGCAUCAAUUUUCUUUCAUUUUUGUUUCUCAACUCCUACGGCAAAGUUUAGCACCAUAAAAUAUGUGACAUGACUCGAUGAUGAAGCAGCAGCUUCCUGCUGAAACUUCAGAGCAAGAGACACUUUUUUUUUUUUUUUUUUUUUUUUUAAAGAAAGAAGGCCAUUGAGCUACCAGCUGUUCUCCUAAAAAAGAUGUGGCAGCAUUAUCCACGCAGAUAUUCUGCAGUUGUUUCCUGGCCAUAAUGAAAAGGGAUUUUAUUUGAUUUUUUUUUAGGCUCAACUGGAUGUGGUUUCCAGGAACUCAUCAGGAUAAGGAGACAUGUAUCUUUGCACUGGAUAAACUGAGUCUAAGUAUCGUACUUAUCCAUCGUCAAGGCCAACAUCUUUAUUUCUUGAUUCCAUAAAGAAAUAGAAAAUUGGCAUUUUUUAAAAAAAGGUUACAUAACGUUAAAAUGUACUUCAUUCUACUGUCAAAUACCGGUAGAUGCCACUUAAAAGAAGUGUUGCCCACAUAAAGCAAAGCAAAAAUUCACUUGAACUUUCUUUCUCCCCAUGCCCUACUUUUCAGCAAUAUUAUCCAAGAAGAAUUAUCAACAAUUUAGGUGGAGAAGUGUACAGGGACAGGUGUGAUGCUAGCCUGAGGUAUUACUCCCCAGUGACUUGAAUAGCAAAGAUAAGUAGAAUAUUUCUCUAGAGGGCACAUAGUAGGAAUGGCUAAUUUGCACAGAAAAGGGCAUCAUUCUGCGUUUGCAUCUGCAGUACAUGAAAUCUUAAGUUCCUAGUACCCGGUUUGUAAGCAUCUCACACACAUGGCAGUCUACCCAUUGAGGAGUCCCACUCUCCUUCAAACUCCUAUGCUGGAGCUUGGAAUAGAGGAAGGAUGGAGAAAUGAUUGCUGCGGCAGAUUUUUCUCUACUUCCUUCCCCCACAAGAUGUGAGCUACCAGGGUUUCAUGACAAAAAUUUUGAGACAAUUCAAACAAUGAGGGGUCAGGAUCAGAGGGAGACUGUGUAAAAGUCAUCCAGUAGAGAGGUCUGGGAACUGCCCUUGACUUACGCCUCUCGGCCCCUCCCCUACAUUCAGUCACCUAGGAAGUCUUAUGAUUUCAAUUUCCUAAAAAACCUCUCUCCAGUGACCCUCCCUCCAAUACCCCAUUGUCUCAAGGUGGCUCACUGGUUUCCCUGCCUUCUGGCUCCAUCUCCCCGUUCCAACCCUUCACUCCAGGCACUGGGAUGAUGGUUCUGAAAAACAAAGAUACACGUUUAUUUUAUGAAGUUCCUUAUAUAGCAAAGCUGAACCAUUGCUUUAUCUUCUGUAGAGAAUAAAGCUCCAUUCUUAGGCUGGCGUGGGAGAGUGAACCUUGUCCAACAGAGCAGGGCAACUGAUCUGGAAAUCAAAAUGGUGUUCAGGCACACGUUCAGUGGUGGUCCUGCUCCUUAAAACAGCAUCUUCACCUUUACUUUCAGAGGCGUUAUGUAAUCCGGAUCCACUUGGGGCUGGCUCUGUGGUCUAAAUUGAGUUGCCUUUCCCCUUUCCCUGUUACCAGCUUGAUUUGUUUUUCUCAGUCCUAGUAAGCUCAUCAUUUCUCCCUCUGCUUUUCAGCUGCCAAAAUAUUGUAGAUGUUGCCCCCUCUUUGAUUCUCUGUUCUUGCUGUGUAUGCCUUUUAAAGAAACCCUGGAUUGGGGAGGGUUUGAAAUUAGCAGACACAAACCACUUUAGGUAAAACAGAUAAAUAAGGUUCUAGUGUACAGCACCGGGAACUAUAUCCAAUAUCCUAUAAUAAACCAUGAUAGAAAAGUAAAAAAAAAAAAUAAAAGAAAAACCCUAUAAUGUUGUUUUAAUGGCCUUUUGAGAGAGAGAGAAAAUAUAUGUGUAUCUUCAAUGGCUAUCUUUACCUAGAAUCCACCUGUAAUUUUUUUUUUUUUACAUAAAUGCAAAAAACUAGUCACAGUCACCCAGAUCCACAGACACAUCAGGAGGGUAUUUGAGUGAGGAGGUGAAGGGGAUAUUUUCAAAAUUAAAAAAAAAAAAUGUUGAGUCACAGUGUUAUGCAAAAAUGAAAUUGCUAGAGAUCAUAUUGCAUUUUAAUAUGGAACUUUAGAGCAUGGCCCUAAAAAAGAUGAUCAAUUUUUAUGCUGCUGAAGUGGUAGAGCACGCUAAUAAAAAUAAAAAUAAAGUAUACUAAAGAGUCA